RNAcentral lists this transfer RNA (71 nucleotides) under Tegrolcinia mirotibialis. RNAcentral's name for it is "tRNA-Val". It matches the Rfam family "tRNA". From Rfam's summary of the family: Transfer RNA (tRNA) molecules are approximately 80 nucleotides in length. Their secondary structure includes four short double-helical elements and three loops (D, anti-codon, and T loops). The record is from RNAcentral. Lineage: Eukaryota; Metazoa; Arthropoda; Insecta; Orthoptera; Tettigoniidae.
CAAAAUAUAGCUUUAUAGUGAAGUAUUUCGUUUACAUUGAAAGGAGUCUUGUGCAAUUCAGGAUGUUUUGA